Molecule: ribosomal RNA, 467 nt
Filed under: uncultured bacterium
Lineage: Bacteria
Description: partial 16S ribosomal RNA
Rfam family: Bacterial small subunit ribosomal RNA
Source: RNAcentral
GACGAACGCUGGCGGCGUGCUUAACACAUGCAAGUCGAACGGAAAGGCCCUGCUUUUGUGGGGUGCUCGAGUGGCGAACGGGUGAGUAACACGUGAGUAACCUGCCCUUGACUUUGGGAUAACUUCAGGAAACUGGGGCUAAUACCGGAUAGGAGCUCCUGCUGCAUGGUGGGGGUUGGAAAGUUUCGGCGGUUGGGGUUGGACUCGCGGCUUAUCAGCUUGUUGGUGGGGUAGUGGCUUACCAAGGCUUUGACGGGUAGCCGGCCUGAGAGGGUGACCGGCCACAUUGGGCCUGAGAUACGGCCCAGACUGCUACGGGAGGCAACGGUGGGGAAUAUUGCACGAUGGGCGGAAGCCUGAUGCAGCAACGCCGCGUGCGGGAUGACGGCCUUCGGGUUGUAAACCGCUUUCGCCUGUGACGAAGCGUGAGUGACGGUAAUGGGUAAAGAAGCACCGGCUAACUACGU